This 257-nucleotide unclassified non-coding RNA is filed under the name Hevea brasiliensis (rubber tree). Lineage: Eukaryota; Viridiplantae; Streptophyta; Magnoliopsida; Malpighiales; Euphorbiaceae. The record is from RNAcentral.
AGCAUUCCUUCACCUUAAAAUAGAUAAGCCCUACAAGGUAGCCUUGAUGCAAAGAACUUGGAACAACAGAAGACUUAUCUGAUCUAGGAUACGACGCCCUAGUAAAGUCAGGGGAUUCAUUAAAAAGACCAACACAUGACUUGAGGAAGUAUGAUCAGAGAUAAAAGUGGAGUUCGAAUCCAAGUUCUAUUUCCAUCCAACUGGUUUAGGUCAAAAUAUCUCCCGCCAACAAGUCGGCAUAGUCGCUUACCUCAAAU